UACGAAGGGGGCUAGCGUUGCUCGGAAUCACUGGGCGUAAAGGGCGCGUAGGCGGCGUUUUAAGUCGGGGGUGAAAGCUUGUGGCUCAACCACAGAAUGGCCUUCGAUACUGGGACGCUUGAGUAUGGUAGAGGUUGGUGGAACUGCGAGUGUAGAGGUGAAAUUCGUAGAUAUUCGCAAGAACACCGGUGGCGAAGGCGGCCAACUGGACCAUUACUGACGCUGAGGCGCGAAAGCGUGGGGAGCAAACAGG
This 253-nucleotide ribosomal RNA is filed under the name uncultured bacterium. RNAcentral describes it as "partial 16S ribosomal RNA". It matches the Rfam family "Bacterial small subunit ribosomal RNA", at positions 524 to 776 of the family's 1533-position model. The record is from RNAcentral.